This 567-nucleotide ribosomal RNA is filed under the name uncultured fungus. RNAcentral's name for it is "eukaryotic LSU rRNA". The stretch from base 186 to 339 matches the Rfam family "5.8S ribosomal RNA". The record is from RNAcentral. Lineage: Eukaryota; Fungi.
UCCGAGUGAGAGUGAACCAGCGGAGGGAUCAUUACCGAGUUUACAACUCCCAAACCCCUGUGAACAUACCUUAAUGUUGCCUCGGCGGAUCAGCCCGCGCCCCGUAAAACGGGACGGCCCGCCAGAGGACCCAAACUCUAAUGUUUCUUAUUGUAACUUCUGAGUAAAACAAACAAAUAAAUCAAAACUUUCAACAACGGAUCUCUUGGUUCUGGCAUCGAUGAAGAACGCAGCAAAAUGCGAUAAGUAAUGUGAAUUGCAGAAUUCAGUGAAUCAUCGAAUCUUUGAACGCACAUUGCGCCCGCUGGUAUUCCGGCGGGCAUGCCUGUUCGAGCGUCAUUUCAACCCUCAAGCCCCCGGGUUUGGUGUUGGGGAUCGGCUCUGCCUUCUGGCGGUGCCGCCCCCGAAAUACAUUGGCGGUCUCGCUGCAGCCUCCAUUGCGUAGUAGCUAACACCUCGCAACUGGAACGCGGCGCGGCCAUGCCGUAAAACCCCAACUUCUGAAUGUUGACCUCGGAUCAGGUAGGAAUACCCGCUGAACUUAAGCAUAUCAAUAAGCGAGGGAAA